Molecule: small RNA, 146 nt
Filed under: Chelonoidis abingdonii (Abingdon island giant tortoise)
Lineage: Eukaryota; Metazoa; Chordata; Testudines; Testudinidae
Description: TUC338 (ENSCABG00000019984.1)
Source: RNAcentral
GAGAUAGAAGUCCUUUAUUUAUUCAUAGACCCAGGCAGCAGUGCAAAAUUCCUCAAAUUAAUCCACCUACAUGCCUCAAUCCUGACCUGGAGGGACUACCUCUAGCUGGAAGGGAAAGAAUAUAGUCUUGCUUUUCAGUGGCAUCU